GGAUGCGAUCAUACCAGCACUAAGGCACCGGAUCCCAUCAGAACUCUGAAGUUAAGCGUGCUUGGGCGAGAGUAGUACUAGGAUGGGUGACCUCCUGGGAAGUCCUCGCCCUUUUUAAUUU
RNAcentral lists this ribosomal RNA (121 nucleotides) under Triticum aestivum (bread wheat). The record is from RNAcentral. Lineage: Eukaryota; Viridiplantae; Streptophyta; Magnoliopsida; Poales; Poaceae.